Non-coding RNA from Cadophora sp. MPI-SDFR-AT-0126, 98 nucleotides. NCBI's taxonomy places the organism in Eukaryota, Fungi, Ascomycota, Leotiomycetes, Helotiales, Ploettnerulaceae. The record is from the annotation of a GenBank genome assembly.
GCGGCUUUAGCUCACUUGGGAGAGCGCCAGACUGAAGCAUUCAAAACUUCAGGAAUCUCGAUAUCUGGAGGCACUGUGUUCGAUCCACAGAAGCCGCA